RNAcentral lists this long non-coding RNA (984 nucleotides) under Homo sapiens (human). Its description in RNAcentral is "HSALNT0308851". The record is from RNAcentral. Lineage: Eukaryota; Metazoa; Chordata; Mammalia; Primates; Hominidae.
AGCAAACCACCAGAAGCUUGACAAGAGGCAUGGAGCAGAUGCUUCCUCACAGCCCUCAGAAGGAACCAACCCGCCAACCCCUUGAUCUCAGAUUUCUGGCCUCCAGAACCGCGAGACAGCAGAUUUCCAUGGCUUGAGCCGCCCGGUUUGUAGUACUUCAUUAUGGCAGCUCCAGCAAACAAAUACAGAUUUAUGACCUCGUCUACCCGACGAGGAUGCCUGGCCCAAGCUGGCAUACUAAGAGUUUUCCUGGAACUUGGGAACUGGGACAAAGAGGGACUAAGCCAGCAAGACCGAAAAGCAUGGCAGUCCCAGGACAGCCAUGAAAACCAUAUGUGAAUUAAUGAGUGAGCAGAUUGGAGCAGCAUUGUUUUGGACCCUAAGGACGUCACGUACAAAAUGCACUUAAAUCCUUGCCUCCUGGAGCUGAUGAUAAAGAAGAUGGACAAGUAAAACAUAUGGAAUGUGAAAUGGUGAUAAGAGUGAUGGAGAAAAUAAAACAGGAGAGGAGGUUGGAAUUGCCAGGCUUCAGAUUCAGCUUCUGUUUCCUGAGUGCCUCCACUAUACCAGCCAUUGGGCCAGGCAUCCAGAAGCCCUAAGGUAGACCUCAUCAUCCCUGUUCUACAGGAGAGGAAAACCAAGACUUGGCUACUACAGUAUACAAAGGGUGUGGAAAAGUCCUCCUAGAACCCUUACCCUGCUUCCAGGAGGAGCUGGACAGUUCUUUCCAAGUCCAGGCAGAAAGAAGUCUCCUCUUUUUCCAUUCUCUUUGUUACUUUAUAUGUCUGUGCAGGCUUGGUUGAGGAAGAAGGGGGGCCAGAAGGAAGUCUGGCCAGAUGGCAGGGUAAUAAAUGACUCUGACUUAAUAAUUUGUUGCUCUCCUCUUAAUUAAAAGGCUUUUCCCUAAAUGAUUUGCUGAUCACACAAACAGCACACACUAGUUGGGCGAGGACUGGGGGCCCAGGGAAAUCUAGACUGAGAGGA